ACUGGAGAGAAAAAAAAAGUGAUUUAUUUAAAAUGAAUAUAAAUUGAACGCCGAACAUUAGAUCACUUAGCAAUUAAUUCGCGGAUUUUCAGAUGGCUCCUCCAGCUUUCCUUGGUCUACGGUGGAUAUGUAGAUGAACAUCCCUGGUCUCAACACAGAAGCACCUUCAACCUCAGUCUUGCCAGAGAGCCAACUCUGAGAGGUGUUCCGUUUCAUAAAUAGGGCCAAAACACAGAAUACCACAUCAUUGCUUUCAGCUGGCAUUGUGUUAUACUUCCAACAUUAUAUCUUUGUUAUUUAGCAAUCAUUCAUUUCAUUGCAAUGUUUUGAUGCUUAGUC
Molecule: long non-coding RNA, 339 nt
Filed under: Scleropages formosus (Asian bonytongue)
Lineage: Eukaryota; Metazoa; Chordata; Actinopteri; Osteoglossiformes; Osteoglossidae
Description: lncRNA (ENSSFOG00015024255.1)
Source: RNAcentral